UUUUUGGGCAUUUUUGGGGCGGACGAACUUGGGGACGGGACCUUCGGGCGUUUAUUUUUGGGCGCGGCAGUGGCUACGGCCUAUUUUUGGCACACGGAGGCCCCUCGCAAAGUCUGGCCCCAUUCCGAGUCCGGCGGACGAACUUGGCCAGCCCCUCCCCCCAAGGCUAUAGCCCACCCGUUUUUUGGGCAUUUUUGCGGCGGACGAACAGGGGACGGGACCUUUGGGCGCUUAUUUUUGGUUGCGGCAGUGCCCGCGGCCUAUUUUUGGCACACGGACGGGACCUUCGGGCGCUUAUUUUUGGGCGCGGCAGUGUCCACGGCCUAUUUUUGGCACACGGAGACCCCUCGCAAAUUGUGGCCCCAUUCCGAGUCCGGCGGCCGAACUUGGCCAGCCCCUCCCACCAAGGCUAUCGCCCAUCCGUUUUUUUGGCAUUUUUGCGGCGGACGAAAUUGGGGACAGGAUCUUCAGGCGCUUAUUUUUGGGCGCGGCAGUGCCCGUGGCCUAUUUUUGGCACACGGAGGCCCCUCGCAAAGUCUGGCCCCAUUCCGAGUCCGGCGGACGAACUUGGCCAGCCCCUCCCCCCAAGGCUAUAGCCCACCCGUUUUUUGGGCAUUUUUGCG
Molecule: long non-coding RNA, 623 nt
Filed under: Citrus sinensis (sweet orange)
Lineage: Eukaryota; Viridiplantae; Streptophyta; Magnoliopsida; Sapindales; Rutaceae
Description: long non-coding RNA (CSIN_LNC005716)
Source: RNAcentral